GGUCCUUACAUUAAAACAGAGGUAAAGAGUUCACACAGCUAAAAACUAAAAACAAGUUACUAGUAAGGUAUGUUAAUAGACAAAUAUGUGAUUUUCCAUUACAGUGGCAUUCCCCAAU
Etheostoma spectabile (orangethroat darter) is the source of this 118-nucleotide long non-coding RNA. RefSeq lists it as uncharacterized. The record is from RefSeq and is a predicted model, not a curated record. The transcript is spliced from 3 exons. NCBI's taxonomy places the organism in Eukaryota, Metazoa, Chordata, Actinopteri, Perciformes, Percidae.